This 583-nucleotide long non-coding RNA is filed under the name Coturnix japonica (Japanese quail). RNAcentral's name for it is "lncRNA (ENSCJPG00005000172.1)". The record is from RNAcentral. Lineage: Eukaryota; Metazoa; Chordata; Aves; Galliformes; Phasianidae.
UAAAAUCAGCUACUUACCCUUUUUGUCAGAUUUAAGAUACUGACAUCAAGCAAGUAGUGCAGUUGUCUCUUAAUUAAGUGUUGUAACUAUUCUAAUUCAGUGUCCUUUCAUCAGUCAUUUAUCAUCACUUUUACUGCUCGUACUAUUACUUCUUAUGCUAAUUGCCAACUGAAAUGCUCCUAAACUACAUAACUGCAUAAAUAUUUCCUGGGAGAAGAGUUCAGCAUUUCUCAUGCUCAUUGGAAAAAAAUUCUACAGGAAAACAUAUUCUGCCCAGAGCACGGGUUGCAAAAUCUGAAGUAAUGUGAUUUGUCUGUGGCCAGGACAGCUAAUCAUCUCCUCGUGGUGGAAUGGACAUGUUGGUUUCUGCAUGUUUCCUACAAAUGCUGAAUCAAGUGGACUUUGGAAGACAGGUGAAGGACUCACCUGGUAGAAAGCAAUUCUGAAAAGCUUCAUUGCGCUUGAUGUUUCUUGAAAAUCUACACACCAAAAUGAAAUGAGAUGAACACAUCCCAUACUGAAAAUUAAUGGCAUGUUCAAAAGAAACCUCAAAUUAUGAUCCCAAAAGAAAAAAUAAAAGGAC